Long non-coding RNA from Heterocephalus glaber (naked mole-rat), 3939 nucleotides. The record is from Ensembl. Lineage: Eukaryota; Metazoa; Chordata; Mammalia; Rodentia; Bathyergidae.
GGGGUGGGUGAAGGGCAAACACGGCACCAAGCGGGGUAGCUGCAAAGGCUGACUAGGGCAGACUGAUCAAAGAGCGUGUUUGGGGCCAUGUAGGACCCACAACCCUGUGAGCAGCCCCGGUGGCUGACCACAGCCCAGAGAGCAGCCAGCCAGGCAGCCUGGACAGAAGGCACUGAAAGGGCUGCUCACUCAGAAGGGGAUGUGGGCCACCACCCACAGAUGCCAAGUGUGGUACCCAGGUGGCAGCUGCCAUGCUGUGCAUCAAUAAAGGCACCAAAGGGGACAAUCUCAGACACCCUAAAUGUAACACAAGGCUCGGGUGUGAAGGGGGAGGAGCAAAGGGAAGUUGGUAGGGUUCCAGCUGGGUGGAGCUGGGCACAGCUCCUUGCUGGAAACUUGGCCUGUGGACUUCGAUCCCAGCCCCCACAGAAGCUACAAGCAGGUCCCUCGCACCAGCCCUUCCGCCCCCAGCAGGGGAGGCUCCGUGUGAGCACCUUGGGCCUUCCUCCCCAGAUUCACUGCAGAAAGGCUCCGGCCUGCUACUUUGGGUGUCUCUCUGCAGCUCUUCACAGGCUGCCUGGAGUUGAGGAGCUCACCCAGGCCGGGCCCUCUCUGACCAGCAUCUGAACAGGAUCCUGAGCCCUCUAUCCAGAGAUCCCUCGGCCUCAGGAGUCUCAGUCCCCCACAGCCCAGUUCACAGCCAGUGCUGUGGUCGAGGGAGUGCUUGACAUGGGGUUGUCUGACCUGACUACUGCACAACCCGAGCAGAGUUUGAGAAGCCUCUCGUGUUGGCUGUCCUGGCCUCCCUGGGCCCAUAGAUGAGCUGAGGACCAUCACAGCUGCUCCAGGAAGGUGGAGAAUGUAGGAAGAUGGAUAUGAAGAAAUGGCGUAAAACUCAGCAAAAGAAAGAGGUCUCACUGUGCUGCCCACGCUGGUCUUGAACUCUUGCGCUCAAGUGAUUCUCCUGCCAGACAUGCCUGGCUUCAUGGAAUAAUCUGGAAGCCUGAAGCACCACGACGUUGUGGGUAAUGCCAGGAGACACUCUCAUGGGGUGGCACUGCCCAGAAGCAAAUUGGAUGUGGCUCACAUAGGGUGCUGUGGCCAGGGACUCUGCCCAGAAGUGUUCCCACUGCACAGGCACCUGUGGGUUCCACUGCCCUUGGAGGGCACCCAGCCCUGGCUUUCUGUUAACCCAGCUGGAGCUGCCAUUCCGAGAGCCAAGAACCAGAGCCUGGAGCCAGUCUGCCCAGAGGAGAAGAUGCCCAGCCCCAGGUAGCACCGACCUGAGCAGAGGCCCCUGAUGCUGGGCCUAGGCACGGUCUGCCUGCUGGGGACACUCAGAGCCCCUGGGGUUGGGCUGCUGACAGGAACCGUUGAUGCCAUCAGAAGAGCCUCCAGCAAGAUUCCAUGUACCCUGCAAACUCGUGCAGCCGUGCCCCAAGAGACACAUUCAUUCCAUGACGAUGGAGGUGACUCAUCGCCAGCGCCAGAGCUGGACUCCGGAACUGCUGCAGUCUUUUGAGCUGUGUCCUUCUGAUGUGCGGUAUCUAAAUCUGAAAAGCAGGGCAGCCUAGGGCAUUAUACAUGUGUUCAGCUGUGGCUCCUAGCUCUUACCUCCUUUCCCAGGCAGGCCCUAGAAACUAGAGUUUUCCCAUGAAACCCAAAAGGACAAGGUUCAGCAAGCUUCAGGAUGGCUGAACUUGUGGGGUCCCAGGAGGGUGUGGUAGCCCAUGCCAUGCGUCUGUGCAUCUCUCCUCUGUAUCCUUUGAUCGCUGGUAAAUGCAGUUCUGCCCGAGUUCCACGGGCAGCUUUAGCAAAUUAAUCAAACCUGAGUGGGGGUGUGGGCACCCAGGCUUAUGCCUGUUGGCCAGAGGAUGGGGCUGUGGCUGGUAUCUGAAGUUGAAGGACAGCCUUAGGGACAGAGUAGCCUUGCACUGGGCCCUUCCAGGAUGAGGCUUGGAACACAAACGACAACCACAUGAGCCCGAGGGAGAAGGCUGCGUCUGCUGCUCCAGGAGAGCAGUGCAGCGGGACUCGCCCUGCGACAGGACCUGAGUGCAGGGCCCACUGCUCGAGCUGCUGUCCCUCUGCGCUGACUUGCAGCUGUGCACAGCACGCUGUGCCUGUGUCCUUGGUCCUCGGCUGUUUGGAUGCGGACGCCUUGUGUCAUCUCCUUGAGUGUGCCCUGUUUAGGCUGCUAACCUUCCCGCAUUCCUGGGCUCAUCCUUCACUGGAGCUGGGCUGCUUCCUUCUUCUGUUCUUCAAAGACUUUUCUCAGCAUCGCCUCUCCCCCGCUUCUGGAGUUCCAAUGACACACUCUUCACACACCCUACCGACCCCGGGCUCCAGAGGCUAUUCUCCUUCUCUUUCCCAUCUUCAUUCCUUCUUGCGAGAUUUUCCCAUUGGCCAGCUCAAGCUGUGGGCCUCCCCUUCUGCACCUCCACUUGCUGUUGAGUCUGGUGAGCCUGUCAUUUUUGUCUGCCUUUUCAAUGAUGGUGAUCAUGUUUUCAUUUCUAAAAUUUCCAGGUGGCUCUAUAUCCUCGAUUUCUUUUCAGGUACUUUCUAGUCUAAUAUUUAAGUGCUCAACAUGGCUCCAUUGAGCAUUUCUGUACAGCUGCUUUAGAGCACUUGUUGGAUAAUUUCACACCUUGUCCUCCUGCACUGGGUUCCUGAACAUGGCUGGUCAAGAUGCUGAGCGAUCCUGAUUUGCAAUGUUUUGAAUCUUUCUUUGAGACUCUGGGUCUUUCAUCCACCACACGGAGACUGCUGGUCUUAGCCUUGGUAGGCAGUGGACUUAAGGUCAGUUUCCUUCUCCAACUGUUUGGGGCACCAUCUGGUUUGGCUGGUGCAGACCCCAGAGUGCUGGGUCUGAGGGGGCCAAAUCAACUCCACUGACACACACACACACACACACACACACACGCCCAUGCUGAAGCAAGGGCUCACAAUUCUGUGGGUAGUUUUCUGGUAUUUUCCAGCCCCACAGCUUCUGACUCCCUUCCCAGCCUUCAAGUCAGGAGGUAGAGGUGGUGGUGGACAUAGGGGUGACAGAGGAGCUGACCCACCUGUCAGCAGGUCCUCCUGGGCCACGUGGUCACCUGCAGAAGCACCACACACAGCAGGGAUAUGAGUGCCACUGCUCCCUCCACUGUCCACCAUCAUUUGCUCUCCCAUGGGGCUUUUCUUCAUCUUCCAGGACUGGCACCACACCUUGGUCUGCCUCAGUGCCCCUUAUGGAGGAUGCUCUGCUGGGCGUGUGGCCGGCAAGGGGUGCCCAGGGUGUCUGUCUGGAGCCACGUGGAAAGCCUACAUGGGCAGCUCAGGGCCUUUGCACCCAGGAGCAUGAGGCAGAGUGGGCAGGGUGAUCAGCGAGGGCAGCCUCUGCCCUGUGUCCCAAGGCCUCCUCAGGAGGGAGAGUGCACGAAGCAGAUGGGCAGGAGGCCACUUAUUAUUGCUUCCAGCAGGUGGUGUCUGGGCCUCUAGCUGCUGGACCAGGCUUCCUCCUGAGUGGGAGCCACCUGAACAACUCUCUUUCCCAAGGAUGCUGCUCCAGGACCUGCCGUGUGCUCACGGGGACAACACUGUGGCAGGCAGUGGCCACCUCCAGGACAAUGGACACUGUGAGCUUCACUGUGGGAGAUGCAGAAGAUGCCACCAGCACCAGUGUCCCCGUCCUUGAAGGGUCCGACCAUGGGCAGGAAGGACACCUGGCCACUCUCCUCAGCACUCAUGGAGUUCAGCCUUCUCUCACCUUUGCUGGCACCCAGUUCCCGCCUGUCUCAUCCUGUCUUGCCCAUCUUCCCUACUGCUACUGUCUUCCUCUUAUUGCCUAUAAACUUUACAUAUUAAAGUCAGUAGUAAUAGAUUAAUCCCUAAGCUCUUGCGUGUGUUACAAAUGUUUCUGUCCCAAUUGUUCUUUAGGUGUAAGAAGUGGGGGAC